CCCCUAAGAAGUUUUKRUWUCAUGGCUCAGGACGAACGCUGGCGGCGUGCCUUAAUACAUGCAAGUCGAGCGGACAGAUGGAGCUUGCUCCCUGAUGUUAGCGGCGGACGGGUGAGUAACACGUGGGUAACCCUGCCUGUAAGACUGGGAUAACUCCGGGAAACCGGGGCUAAUACCGGAUGSUUGUUUGAACCGCAUGGUUCAGACAUAAAAGGUGGCUUCGGCUACCACUUACAGAUGGACCCGCGGCGCAUUAGCUAGUUGGUGAGGUAACGGCUCACCAAGGCRACGAUGCGUAGCCGACCUGAGAGGGUGAUCGGCCACACUGGGACUGAGACACGGCCCAGACUCCUACGGGAGGCAGCAGUAGGGAAUCUUCCGCAAUGGACGAAAGUCUGACGGAGCAACGCCGCGUGAGUGAUGAAGGUUUUCGGAUCGUAAAGCUCUGUUGUUAGGGAAGAACAAGUGCCGUUCAAAUAGGGCGGCACCUUGACGGUACCUAACCAGAAAGCCACGGCUAACUACGUGCCAGCAGCCGCGGUAAUACGUAGGUGGCAAGCGUUGUCCGGAAUUAUUGGGCGUAAAGGGCUCGCAGGCGGUUUCUUAAGUCUGAUGUGAAAGCCCCCGGCUCAACCGGGGAGGGUCAUUGGAAACUGGGGAACUUGAGUGCAGAAGAGGAGAGUGGAAUUCCACGUGUAGCGGUGAAAUGCGUAGAGAUGUGGAGGAACACCAGUGGCGAAGGCGACUCUCUGGUCUGUAACUGACGCUGAGGAGCGAAAGCGUGGGGAGCGAACAGGAUUAGAUACCCUGGUAGUCCACGCCGUAAMCRAUGAGUGCUAAGUGUUAGGGGGUUUCCGCCCCUUAGUGCUGCAGCUAACGCAUUAAAGCAAYUCCCGCCA
This 899-nucleotide ribosomal RNA is filed under the name Bacillus velezensis. RNAcentral's name for it is "bacterial SSU rRNA". It matches the Rfam family "Bacterial small subunit ribosomal RNA", at positions 1 to 874 of the family's 1533-position model. Lineage: Bacteria; Bacillati; Bacillota; Bacilli; Caryophanales; Bacillaceae. The record is from RNAcentral.